GACGAACGCUGGCGGCGUGCUUAACACAUGCAAGUCGAACGGAAAGGCCCUGCUUGCAGGGUACUCGAGUGGCGAACGGGUGAGUAACACGUGGGUGAUCUGCCCUGCACUUCGGGAUAAGCCUGGGAAACUGGGUCUAAUACCGGAUAGGAGCCAUUUUUAGUGUGAUGGUUGGAAAGUUUUUUCGGUGUAGGAUGAGCUCGCGGCCUAUCAGCUUGUUGGUGGGGUAAUGGCCUACCAAGGCGGCGACGGGUAGCCGGCCUGAGAGGGUGGACGGCCACAUUGGGACUGAGAUACGGCCCAGACUCCUACGGGAGGCAGCGGUGGGGAAUAUUGCACAAUGGGCGCAAGCCUGAUGCAGCGACGCCGCGUGGGUGAUGACGGCCUUCGGGUUGUAAACUCCUUUCGCUAGGGACGAAGCUUUUUGUGACGGUACCUAGAUAAGAAGCACCGGCUAACUACGUG
This 465-nucleotide ribosomal RNA is filed under the name uncultured bacterium. RNAcentral's name for it is "partial 16S ribosomal RNA". It matches the Rfam family "Bacterial small subunit ribosomal RNA", at positions 28 to 507 of the family's 1533-position model. The record is from RNAcentral.